This 254-nucleotide ribosomal RNA is filed under the name uncultured bacterium. RNAcentral describes it as "partial 16S ribosomal RNA". It matches the Rfam family "Bacterial small subunit ribosomal RNA", at positions 524 to 776 of the family's 1533-position model. The record is from RNAcentral.
UACGUAGGGUGCGAGCGUUGUCCGGAAUUAUUGGGCGUAAAGAGCUCGUAGGCGGUGUGUCGCGUCGGCCGUGAAAACCUGCAGCUUAACUGUGGGCUUGCGGUCGAUACGGGCAUCACUGGAGUUCGGCAGGGGAGACUGGAAUUCCUGGUGUAGCGGUGAAAUGUGCAGAUAUCAGGAGGAACACCGGUGGCGAAGGCGGGUCUCUGGGCCGUAACUGACGCUGAGGAGCGAAAGCAUGGGGAGCGAACAGG